UACGGGGGGAGCAAGCGUUGUUCGGAUUUACUGGGCGUAAAGCGUGCGAAGGCGGUUUUGUAAGUCUGUUGUGAAAUCCCCGGGCUUAACCUGGGAAUGGCAAUGGAGACUGCAAGGCUAGAGUUUGGCAGAGGGGGGUAGAAUUCCACGUGUAGCAGUGAAAUGCGUAGAGAUGUGGAGGAACACCGAUGGCGAAGGCAGCCCCCUGGGUCAAAACUGACGCUCAUGCACGAAAGCGUGGGGAGCAAACAGG
Molecule: ribosomal RNA, 253 nt
Filed under: uncultured bacterium
Lineage: Bacteria
Description: partial 16S ribosomal RNA
Rfam family: Bacterial small subunit ribosomal RNA
Source: RNAcentral